Molecule: ribosomal RNA, 497 nt
Filed under: uncultured bacterium
Lineage: Bacteria
Description: partial 16S ribosomal RNA
Rfam family: Bacterial small subunit ribosomal RNA
Source: RNAcentral
GAUGAACGCUGGCGGCGUGCCUAAUACAUGCAAGUCGAGCGAACAGACGAGGAGCUUGCUCCUCUGACGUUAGCGGCGGACGGGUGAGUAACACGUGGAUAACCUACCUAUAAGACUGGGAUAACUUCGGAAAACCGGAGCUAAUACCGGAUAAUAUAUUGAACAGCAUGGUUCAAUAGUGAAAGACGGUUUUGCUGUCACUUAUAGAUGGAUCCGCGCCGCAUUAGCUAGUUGGUAAGGUAACGGCUUACCAAGGCGACGAUGCGUAGCCGACCUGAGAGGGUGAUCGGCCACACUGGAACUGAGACACGGUCCAGACUCCUACGGGAGGCAGCAGUAGGGAAUCUUCCGCAAUGGGCGAAAGCCUGACGGAGCAACGCCGCGUGAGUGAUGAAGGUCUUCGGAUCGUAAAACUCUGUUAUUAGGGAAGAACAAAUGUGUAAGUAACUAUGCACGUCUUGACGGUACCUAAUCAGAAAGCCACGGCUAACUACGUG